GCGUACACUAGUACCUAGCGGCGGACGGGUGAGUAAUGCUUAGGAAUCUGCCUAUUAGUGGGGGACAACAUUCCGAAAGGAAUGCUAAUACCGCAUACGCCCUACGGGGGAAAGCAGGGGAUCUUCGGACCUUGCGCUAAUAGAUGAGCCUAAGUCGGAUUAGCUAGUUGGUGGGGUAAAGGCCUACCAAGGCGACGAUCUGUAGCGGGUCUGAGAGGAUGAUCCGCCACACUGGGACUGAGACACGGCCCAGACUCCUACGGGAGGCAGCAGUGGGGAAUAUUGGACAAUGGGCGCAAGCCUGAUCCAGCCAUGCCGCGUGUGUGAAGAAGGCCUUUUGGUUGUAAAGCACUUUAAGCGAGGAGGAGGCUCCUUUAGUUAAUACCUAAAGAGAGUGGACGUUACUCGCAGAAUAAGCACCGGCUAACUCUGUGCCAGCAGCCGCGGUAAUACAGAGGGUGCGAGCGUUAAUCGGAUUUACUGGGCGUAAAGCGUGCGUAGGCGGCUUUUUAAGUCGGAUGUGAAAUCCCUGAGCUUAACUUAGGAAUUGCAUUCGAUACUGGAAAGCUAGAGUAUGGGAGAGGAUGGUAGAAUUCCAGGUG
Molecule: ribosomal RNA, 602 nt
Filed under: Acinetobacter schindleri
Lineage: Bacteria; Pseudomonadati; Pseudomonadota; Gammaproteobacteria; Moraxellales; Moraxellaceae
Description: bacterial SSU rRNA
Rfam family: Bacterial small subunit ribosomal RNA
Source: RNAcentral